CCUACGGGGUGCACCAGUGGGGAAUGUUGCACAAUGGGCGCAAGCCUGAUGCAGCCAUGCCGCGUGUAUGAAGAAGGCCUUCGGGUUGUAAAGUACUUUCAGCGGGGAGGAAGGCGAUAAGGUUAAUAACCUUGUCGAUUGACGUUACCCGCGGAAGAAGCACCGGCUAACUCCGUGCCAGCAGCCGCGGUAAUACGGAGGGUGUAAGCGUUAAUCGGAAUUACUGGGCGUAAAGCGCACGCAGGCGGUCUGUCAAGUCGGAUGUGAAAUCCCCGGGCUUAACCUGGGAACUGCAUUCGAAACUGGCAGGCUAGAGUCUUGUAGAGGGGGGUUGAAUUCCAGGUGUAGCGGUGAAAUGCGUAGAGAUCUGGAGGAAUACCGGUGGCGAGGGCGGCCCCCUGGACAAAGACUGACGCUCAGGUGCGAAAGCGUGGGGAGCAAACAGGAUUAGAUACCCGAGUAGUC
This 465-nucleotide ribosomal RNA is filed under the name uncultured bacterium. RNAcentral describes it as "bacterial SSU rRNA". It matches the Rfam family "Bacterial small subunit ribosomal RNA", at positions 338 to 795 of the family's 1533-position model. The record is from RNAcentral.